GAUGAACGCUGGCGGCGUGCCUAAUACAUGCCAGUCGAGCGAACAGAUAAGGAGCUUGCUCCUUUGACGUUAGCGGCGGACGGGUGAGUAACACGUGGGUAACCUACCUAUAAGACUGGGAUAACUCCGGGAAACCGGGGCUAAUGCCGGAUAACAUUUAGAACCGCAUGGUUCUAAAGUGAAAGAUGGUUUUGCUGUCACUUAUAGAUGGACCCGCGCCGUAUUAGCUAGUUGGUAAGGUAACGGCUUACCAAGGCAACGAUGCGUAGCCGACCUGAGAGGGUGAUCGGCCACACUGGAACUGAGACACGGUCCAGACUCCUACGGGAGGCAGCAGUAGGGAAUCUUCCGCAAUGGGCGAAAGCCUGACGGAGCAACGCCGCGUGAGUGAUGAAGGUCUUCGGAUCGUAAAACUCUGUUAUUAGGGAAGAACAAAUGUGUAAGUAACUGUGCACGUCUUGACGGUACCUAAUCAGAAAGCCACGGCUAACUACGUG
Molecule: ribosomal RNA, 497 nt
Filed under: uncultured bacterium
Lineage: Bacteria
Description: partial 16S ribosomal RNA
Rfam family: Bacterial small subunit ribosomal RNA
Source: RNAcentral